Molecule: ribosomal RNA, 264 nt
Filed under: uncultured bacterium
Lineage: Bacteria
Description: partial 16S ribosomal RNA
Rfam family: Bacterial small subunit ribosomal RNA
Source: RNAcentral
GUCCACGCCCUAAACGAUGGACACUAAGUGUAGCCGGCGAAGGCCGGCUGUGCCGCAGCUAACGCAGUAAGUGUCCCGCCUGGGGAGUACGGCCGCAAGGUUGAAACUCAAAGGAAUUGACGGGGGCCCGCACAAGCGGUGGAGCAUGUGGUUCAAUUCGACGCAACGCGAAAACCUUACCUGGGUUUGACAUGCAGGUGGUACUGAACCGAAAGGGAAUGGACCCCGCAAGGGGAGCCUGCACAGGUGCUGCAUGGCUGUCGU